RNAcentral lists this ribosomal RNA (468 nucleotides) under uncultured bacterium. RNAcentral's name for it is "partial 16S ribosomal RNA". It matches the Rfam family "Bacterial small subunit ribosomal RNA", at positions 28 to 507 of the family's 1533-position model. The record is from RNAcentral.
GACGAACGCUGGCGGCGUGCUUAACACAUGCAAGUCGAACGGAAAGGCCCUGCUUUUGUGGGGUGCUCGAGUGGCGAACGGGUGAGUAACACGUGAGUAACCUGCCCUUGACUUUGGGAUAACUUCAGGAAACUGGGGCUAAUACCGGAUAGGAGCUCCUGCUGCAUGGUGUGGGUUGGAAAGUUUCGGCGGUUGGGGAUGGACUCGCGGCUUAUCAGCUUGUUGGUGGGGUAGUGGCUUACCAAGGCUUUGGCGGGUAGCCGGCCUGAGAGGGUGACCGGCCACAUUGGGACUGAGAUACGGCCCAGACUCCUACGGGAGGCAGCAGUGGGGAAUAUUGCACAAUGGGCGGAAGCCUGAUGCAGCAACGCCGCGUGCGGGAUGACGGCCUUCGGGUUGUAAACCGCUUUCGCCUGUGACGAAGCGUGAGUGACGGUAAUGGGUAAAGAAGCACCGGCUAACUACGUG